UACAGAAGUAUCAUUGAUGAUGGGCGUCUCAAAGACAUCCUUUAUUCUACUGAUAGUAGCAUGGAGCGUUCAGGUGCCGUUUAUUGUAGGCGAUGCUGAAGAUCUUGCCUCUAAGACUGGAGGACAAGAGCCCGAGACCCGAGUGGUGGGUGGCAAAGACGCACCCAAAGGCCUUGUGAAGCACCAAGCCGCUCUAAAAUCAAAAGAUAACUGGACUUUUUGCGGCGCUGCUGUCAUAUCCGAAAGAUGGAUGCUGACAGCUGCCCAUUGUGUAGAAAGUCGUAAACCAUCAGAAUUUACCGCUGUGGUUGGUACAUUAUCAAGAAAUGAAGGUGGGACAACGUAUAAAAUAAGCAAAGUCAUUACUCACAAAGAACACAACAAGCCAAAACAAUUUGACAAUGAUAUUGGUGUUAUACGUACGAAAGAGGUCAUCGAAUUCAAUAAAAACGUUCAGCCCCUGCCAAGAUAUCAAGUCUGGAUUAUCGUGUUUACUGACCGGCUGGGGUAAAAUUGGCGAAAGGCGGUUCGCGCCUUACGAAUUGCGGUAUCUUUAUGUCAAAACUUUAUCCAGCAAAGAUUGUAAUAAGUUUUUUAAAGGACGCUCCCGUGUCACUAUAAGCUCCAACCAGAUGUGUACACUUAACAAAUAUGGAGAAGGAACAUGCCAAGGUGAUUCAGGCGGCAGCCUAGUGUGCAACGGCACCUCAGCCGGUAUCGUGUCCUACAACUGGCCCUGUGCUAAUGCUAUCCCUGAUGUGUACACCAACACGUACAAGUACAAUUCCUGGAUACAAGAAAAUACUAAAUCACCCUAACCAUAAUCAUUUAUAAAUUGUUAUAAAUUUCGUCGCACAAAUUACUAUGUAUUUUAUUUAG
Molecule: long non-coding RNA, 879 nt
Organism: Pieris brassicae (large cabbage white)
Lineage: Eukaryota; Metazoa; Arthropoda; Insecta; Lepidoptera; Pieridae
Exons: 5
Source: RefSeq, a predicted model, not a curated record